CAACACCAGCCCUCUCCCUUAACUCCGACGACCGCACUGGAUCCACGGCCGCCACCCUCAACUCUCAUCCACUCUCAACUGACCUACACAGCCAAAACUCCACAAAACAAACACGCUCAAGGCUCGACUUUAAAGCAACACAGUUCAAGACUCUUCCUUUUUCUUUUCUUUUAAAAGUUAUGCUGCUAAAAUUAUAUAUACACAGAUACAUGAACAUGAAGUUUGUAAAUGUCAUUUGUUACAAAAUUUGGAAUACAAAAACUGAAUUGCUGCGUGGAGAGAUGGCGACUGGGAGUUGUUUAUACAUGAAAAAAAAAUUGGGAUUCUUAAUCAAAAAGUGAAGUAAAGUAGCAGGGGAGUUAAAGGUGGAACCUUUAGAGAUUUACUCAAAUCUGUGACGGUCGGCUGCUUGAAUUUAUUGGGCUGCUUGUUCUUGAAGCUCAGUCUGAGGUGUUGGAACGAGAGAGAGGAAGCGAGUGAAUUGAGAGAAAAUAAUUUGGCUAUUGUAUAAGUGAACUUGCGGAGGAGUUACAUUUGAGGAGAGAGAACAUAGUAAGGCGGCUGGUAGGGGUGAGUGAAAAUGUCAGGAAAAUAUCUUAGGAUUAAAAUAUCAGGACUGUAAUAUUCGCCAGGCUUCGUCAGGCUUUGCUAAAUAAAAAGCUCGUAUAAAUGCUUGAAUGCUUAAUUAAAUAAAUAUGCAAUGCAUAUAAAUUUAAUAACUAAAUUACAAAUACUCCUUUUUGUAAAUCAUCUUUGUUGGAAUUAAAACAAAUAAUCUUUUUAUACCUUUCGUCGUGUUUCCCUGGAUAUUUCUGCAAGUUUGCUUCUCGGUCUGCUUACAGGGCUGCUUCUCGCUCUGUGUUUCCUUGGUUUAUUUAGUUGUACUUAUGAAAAUUUCCAAGCAUGGGAAUUAGUAAAAAUCGAAAACCUCAACAGGCAGGGUUUCAAUUUAAUAAGCAUGUUUAUCUUGCAUAAUUUUUUCCAUGGAAAGUCUCAUCCUUAGAGUCUAAUUGAGGUAAAAGUUAUGCGGGUUCUAUGUCCGAUGAUUUCUGGUUUCAGCACCCUGAUUUUGUAAAAUCGAUUAAAAAUAGCAAACCUUUUUAGAAAGACUUGAAAAUUUUCAGAGAUAUUCUAGACGCUUUGAAUAACACAUAUGAAAAUUUUCAGAAUUUUAUCGCCAUUCCAACCGAUUUUAUAGCAUUAAAACAUAGAUCAGAACAGGGGCGAUUUUGACCGCCUUGCUCAGUGAAUUUGUAAAAUGAUUUAAAAUAUCAAAUAUUUUUAGAAAAGCCUGAAAAUCUGCAGAGAUGUUCUCGACGCCUUGAAAUAGACGUCUGAAAUUUUUCAAAAUUUUAUUGGCGGCGCAGCCAAUUUUAUAGCAUUAAAACCGUAGAUCCAUAACAGGGAACUGUCUACUGCACAGUUUCAUGGACAUGAUUAAAUUUGUAAUGCCUGAAUUAAGACGAUUUAGCUGGACUUCAGAUUCCUUUUAUAACUGCUACUUACCAUUUCAAUAUUGCUUUUAUUGACCGAACAGAUUACACAAAAUUCACAUGGAAUAUUUUCAAACUUUGCACAGCUUUGAAGUUUGUCAUCUGUUUAGCAGAAUUUAUUCUAAUUGCAUAUGCCAUGUUCACCAGAGUAAAUAAAUAGAGACUGAUCAUCGAAUACUUAGCUUUGAAUUCAGAGUCCCCACGGAGUAGAAUGAAACACAUCAAACGUCUAGCUCGGGUUUCGACUUCCCACAGAGGGCGCCAGUUGUUGCGUCCAAAAAUAACAGUUAUAAUGGAACAUAACUACGUCCACAGGGUUUUUGGGGUGUUUUUCACUAUCUUUCGGGGAGAUUACAUCGUACAUAGUUGAUCGUUCGGGAUUGAUCGGUCUCGAUCAUGCUCGUAUAAUAAAAAUACAUGCCUCUAUUUAUAGGCAAAAUACUAAGAAUUCUACUAGGAAAAGGACUCUAUUUACACUUAUAAUAACACUAUAAUUCUUCAUAUUUAUCAUCUUUUCCAUGAUAAUUUUCUUCUUUAUCUAGAUCUUGAUAAUCUUCAAAAUAGCUCCAAAUACCGAAAAAUCAGAGCUGCUAGACCGUGAACAGCGCUGUUAUCAUUGGAUUGGCCUCAAUCUCCCGGUCUUCAAGGGAUGCAUAUCUUUGUCCUCAUCAGGGAGUGAUACUAGUUUUAGGAAGAAAAAAAAGUUGUUGAGUGUAUUAAGAUUGGAGAAAAGAUUGUUGGGUAUAUUGGAGUGAUGAACAUGCAUUUUAAUUAGGGUAAAGUACCAAAUACCCCCCCGACGUUGGCGUCCCUAUCGCGUAUAGCCCCCCAUAGUCAGGGUCAGCGCUGUUUACUACCCUAACGUGGCAAAAUCGUAGCAAUUAACCCCCCGCCACUUAACGGACGUUAACACCGUUAGAUUAAAUAAUUUUUUAUUUUUAAUUAAGGUGGGCUAGCACUUUUUCCUCUCUGAGUUGCCUGAGUUCAAUUUUCCGACGAAGCUGCCACCAUCUCCUUCAAUAAUGUGUCGGCUCUUUCAACCUCAACCUCAACAAUUCUGCCGCCCAGUGGCCGUCACCUCCAUCACCGAAAAUUCUGUCGCCGGAUGCUGAUGGUCGGCGCCUCGACCGCCGAGAACAACAACCUCGUGGUAGCCCUCUUCAAAAACUCCAAUUCUCUUUCCCUGCAACUUCCAUGGCCAACAAUCUGCACUCUCCAACUCCCUCCCCUGCAACUUUCCCAGCCAACAAUUUGCACCUUUCCAACCUCUGCAAAAGUCACUAUCCCAAAACUCACUAGAUCUGCACCAUCCAAACCAUCCCCCACCACUUCUCCAAACUCAACACAAACAACAAGAAUGAGAUUGAAAUAACGGUUCAAACAUGGAGUAGUGAAUUUGAGCAAAAUUCAAUCUUCACAAUUCACAAAAAUACAGAAAACCCUCUAAACUUUAUCUUUCCAUUUUCAAUUCCGCACCAUUUUUCACUGAGCCGCCGACAGCAACCGUCGCCGCAGCGCCGCUUCCAUUUUUUACUGGGAGAGAUUGAGGAGUAGAGAGAGGCGGAGGUGGAGGAGAUGUCGCCGCCCAUAUCGCCGCCGCCUGAAACCCCUUUCCGUCUCGAGCCCUAAUUUUUGGAGNAGUCACCUCCAUCGCCGAAAAUUCUGUCGCCGGAUGCUGAUGGUCGGCGCCUCGACCGCCGAGAACAACAACCUCGUGUAGCCCUCUUCAAAAACUCCAACUCUCUUCCCUGCAACUUCCAUGGCCAACAAUCUGCACUCUCCAACUCCCUCCCCUGCAACUUUCCCAGCCAACAAUUUGCACCUUUCCAACCUCUGCAAAAGUCACUAUCCCAAAACUCACUAGAUCUGCACCAUCCAAACCAUCCCCCACCACUUCUCCAAACUCAACACAAACAACAAGAAUGAGAUUGAAAUAACGGUUCAAACAUGGAGUAGUGAAUUUGAGCAAAAUUCAAUCUUCACAAUUCACAAAAAUACAGAAAACCCUCUAAACUUUAUCUUUCCAUUUUCAAUUCCGCACCAUUUUUCACUGAGCCGCCGACAGCAACCGUCGCCGCAGCGCCGCUUCCAUUUUUUUACUGGGAGAGAUUGAGGAGUAGAGAGAGGCGGAGGUGGAGGAGAUGUCGCCGCCCAUAUCGCCGCCGCCUGAAACCCCUUUCCGUCUCGAGCCCUAAUUUUUGGAGCUGGGCGAAUCAGUGGAUGAAAGUGGAGGGUGGAGGCGAGCGAACCGGUUGAGGAAAUGAGAGGGCGGAGGCGGUGGGUGGAAGUGGGGAGGGCGGAGGGCGGUGGUGGUGGAGCCGUGAGGUUGGUGGUGGUGGAGGGACGAGGGAUAGGAGAGGAGAAGUAGAGAGAGAUUAAAAAUAAAAAAAAAUAUUUAAUCUAACGGUGUUAACGUCCGUUAAGUGGCGGGGGGUUAAUUGCUACGAUUUUGCCACGUUAGGGUAGUAAACAGCGCUGACCCUGACUAUGGGGGGCUAUACGCGAUAGGGACGCCAACGUCGGGGGGUAUUUGGUACUUUACCCUUUUAAUUAUAUUAAAAAAAUAGGAAGCUUUCCCAAAAAUAUAGUAGUAAUUAUGGUAGAAGUAAUAUAGUAGUAAUUAAAAUAUUAAAAAAAUCAGCCAAAAAAUAUAAGUGCCCGGCCAAAAAUGCAGUUGACCGAAUGACGCAAUUAGGAAGCCGCUAACCCUGAAUAUUAAAUACGAAUAAAAUAUAAAAUAUAAAAAAUAAUUUCUAAAAAAGAAAAAGAUAUGGACAAAAUCUAUCUAUCUAUAUAUAUGUGUGUAUGUGUGUGUGGAUGAGUUAUACGGAUGCUAUCUUCAAAACCUUAUUCACAAUUUUUCGUAGCUACGGCGUUUCCAGAAGCAAAAGCAAUUCGACACAAUUACUUCUAAUUAAUUUCAAACCAGAAGCAAUAAAACAUAAAUCAGCUGAAAAUUGAAUUCGGAAACCAGUUACAAUUUGGGAAAAAAAAUUGAACUUAGAUCUGAAAUUAUGGCUCACACAAAUGGGGCUCUUUGCAAAUUGGAGUUGAGAUGUUGGGGACAGUUGGAGAAGAAUCGUGUGUAAUGACGCUGAACUGAGCGACGGGCUUGCGGCCGUGAUCGAAUGCCGGCAGAGGCGUGCUAAGCUUGCGACGAGGGGCGAUGCCACAACAACUAUGAAAGAGAGAGAUAGAUACCGAUAGUGAAUGUGGUGUGAACAUCGUGAACUCUACCUAUCAAUGGCGGUGAGAGAAAUGGAAGAACCGCGCGGCCUGAACAAUGAGAAAGAGCACGUUAUAUUUGAAAAUCCAAUUUUGCUACGGAUAUUCUGUAACUAGUAAGUCACAAGGAUUUUGCUACGAAUUGAAUACGGAUUAAAUUUCAGUUUAGCUACGACUUUAGCUACAGUUAUUCUGUAGCUAACGAUUUUUAAUAAAAUUAGUACUUUUUAUUAUUAUUCUAAUGAUGGAUUAUACCCGUAGCGAAAGUUUUUCAAUGAAAAUCCAUCAUGAAAUUCGUUGUUAAAUUUAAUAAAAUGUAUCCAUCAUAAAUUCGUUGUAAUUCCGUCAUAGAAUAGCUACGGACAGGGCCGGUCCUGAGAAAAAUGAGGCUCUGGGCGAAAUUAUAAAAAUGGGCCCUCAAUAUAUUGAAAAAUAAAAUUUUCCAUUACUUAUAAAAAAUGACUUUAUCUAGCAGUUUUAGUUGCAUGUUAUCUAAAAUCUCUUAAUCUCUUUUUCUAUACAUAACUAGUAUUACUUCCGUGCGAUGCACGGUAAAAAAAUUUAUAUUUUUUAGAAUAUUAUAUUUAGAAAAUAAAAUUCUAUAAGUUACUUAUAUUAUUAUAUAAAAUAGCUCUAAUAAAGAUAAUAGCAUUAAAAUGAAGAUAAAACCAUCUUAUAAUUGGAGGAUAUAAAAUGAAUGAUCAAGAUCUUGACAAAACCUUUUUAACUAACGAUUAUUAUUAUCUAUUUAAAAAAUUUCCACCCAAAUAUCUAGAUAUUUUUCUUUCAAAUUUUCUAUUAGUUUUGAAAGGAUUUUUGGAACUUUUAAUUACUUUUUACUUAUUUGCAUUUCAUAAUAUAUAUUUUUUUGAGGCGUUAAUUGACUGUAAAUUCACAAACUAUUAGUUAAUUUUGCUAUUUUUUUCAACUAUAUAAAGUUACAAUAUAAAUACAUAAACUUUAGCUCAUUCUGAAAUUUGCCCUAAAUUUUAAUUUCGUUCAUACAUGACAAAAUUAAAGAUGAUAUAAUAUAUACACAUUAUAUUAAAAUAACUUAUACAAAAUUUCUACUGAAAUAUACACAGUACUAAUAGCAUAUAUAUAUAUAUAUAUAUAUAUAUUAGUAAUGAAUAUAUAGUUUAAUUUUAAAAAUUUCAUUUUUGAUAAAAUUAACAAAUACAACCUAGCAAAGAUGAAAUUUAAAAUUUGUCAUGAUCAAGAAUCAUGACAUUUUAAAAUUUGUUUAUUUUAUUCUAUUUUUUUAUAUUUUUACUAUAUAGUAUUAUGUUUAUAUUUAAAUUUUUUAUUAUAACAAUUUCAUGCAGUUACUAAGAUUAAACUUAUAUUUUUUCAUUUUAGAACUCUUUAGCUUAAAAAUAUAAUUUGUAGAUAAAUAUUUAUAUAUAUAUAUAACUUCAAAAUAUAAUUUCUAAUAUGAUUUACAUUUAUUAAAUUUUUAGUUAUGUUUUGUUAUUAUUAUUAUUAUUAUUAUUAUUAUUAUUAUUAUUAUUAUUAUUAUUAUUAUUAUUAUUAUUAUUAUCUAGAGUAGAUUGAUAAAAAAAUUAGAAAGAAAAAAUUAUUUUUAAAAAUAAGUAAGGUGAUUUUUUGGCAGGAAAACAUAAUUUACUAUUUUUGAAAGUGAUUGAGCUUUUAUAUAUGUAUAUAGAUAUUGUCAAAUCAUUUAAUCUCUCUAGGGACAUUGACGAUCUCAAAUACGUUUUCAACAUUUUUAAAUUUGAGAAGCUCCUUUUACAACAGUAAGUCAGUGACUGACAUUGUCAGCAUAAUUUUAUAUUUCGAUUUGAACUUUGAAGUUUUAAUAUAAUAUAAAUUUGAUAAUAAGUUAUAUUGCCUAAUACUCCCUCCGUCCGCCAAAAGUAUUCCAUAAUUACUAUAUUUGGCGUCCGUAAAAAGUAUUCCACUUUCCUUUUUAAGCCAUGGUCCCACCAUCCACCUUUAUAUUUUAUCCUUACAAACACUCUUUAUUUACAAAAAAACCCACCCGAAAUUCAAUCUCAACCACACAUCUCAUAAAGUGGUGGGACCCUUUCUCCACUACAUUAACAUCAUCACACAUUUUAUUAAACUCCGUGCCUUGCCAAAGUGGAAUACUUUUGGCGGACGGAGGGAGUAUUUUUUAGUAUAUAUAAAUCUAUAUUUUAUAUAUGAGAUAGGGAGAGGUUCAAAUAAGAACCACUAAUAAUGUCAGAUCGUUGAAUCUUUUUAGGGCAUUCGAUCCUCAAAUACGUUUUGUAUCAUUUUUGGAUUUAGAGGUGCUGGUUUACAACAGUAAGUCAGUGACUGAUUUUUUCGGAUGCAUUAAAUUUAAUUACGGAUGCAUUAAUUUGUAUAGCAUAUGCAGUAAUUUUAUUGGUUCUUAUGUUCUCACGAUUUUUGUGGUUUAUAUAAAGUCUAUAAUUAAUGAGAUAUAUUUAAAAUUUUGGGCCCUCAAAAUUAUGUUACAGAAUUAUCAUCAAAUUGAUUUUAAAUUGAACUUUGAAUUUUUGACAAUAAAUUAUAUUAUCUAAUAUUUUUUAGUAUACAUAAAGCUUAUAAUUAAUGGGAUAUAUUAAAAAAUUGGGCCCUCAAUUUUUUGGGGCCCUGGGCCGUCGCCCAUGCCCGCCCGCCCUCAGGGCCGGCCCUGACUAAGAAAACGUUUAAGUCUUGGGCGGUUUCAAUUAAGUAGUGCAUGAGCAAUAUAUAUUUAUAUGGCGUUGUGAUUGUGCAGUGACGAUUGUACCAUCAAGAUAUGGGAAGCGAAUUUCGAUACGGCGCCUCCACCACGUUGGUGAGUAGCAAUUCGACGUGUCUUUGUUAGAUCUUUUCUUUUCUUGUUCUCUGAAUGAAAGAAUGAAAGAUAUAUGAAGUUUAGAAUUUACAUUGGGUGUAGUAAAGUUUGUUUGGCUUGUCUUUGAUGUCUCAAAUACUUUGGAAAUGUCUAUUUUUCGUUGAAAACCCAAUCAAGGCCGGUUUCUUUUUGUGAAAUGCUUCUUUUACAACAUAUUCUGUCAUCAUCUUGGAUCAAUUUGCAUUUCUUCUUGCCCAGUUACUUGUAGCUAAUUCUUAUUGUUAUUUUUCUGAGUUGAAGAUGACGUGGUAAACUAAUUAUUGAUAGUUUCUUAUAUGCUUCACAACUCGAUCAUUUUGACUCCAUUUGUCUUUCUCAGGACACUUAAUAGUACUCUGGAAUAUUAUCAUGUGCAACCUAUUCUCUUCAUCCACUGGUCAAGGUAGAAAACUCUCUGUAUCUUUCUCUUCAUCUUCUGUUUCUUUUUCUUUUUUUCAUAGUUUCAGAUGUACUCAGAAAGUUGGUAAUCAUAAUUCUUGCGUUGUUGGGGUAACAUGUUUUUGUUUUGUCAGAUUGUGUAUUUAUUUUGAGCUACGAAUGUUGCAGGGAGGGAAUAAUAUGCAGUGGAGCAGCUGAUGGUUACAUAUGCUUUAUAAACGGCACAAAUGACUCGGUAUAUGUGUUAGUUGGCUUAAUCACAUUUUUUUAUGUUUGCCUCUAAUAUACACCAUCUAGCUUUACGUUGAAAGAAGUCAGUUCUUCUGUAAAACAUUACUCGGUUGCACACACAAACACGCACAUGUAUAUUGUACAUAUAAAUAUGAAUAUAGUAUAAGGUGAGCUAGUCAUUCAUUUGUGCAGAAAUGUGUGAAGAAAGAAUAUCAAGUGAGAAAAAUAGUAUCAAUCAUGGUUGGCUAACUUGAAGCUUAACUUUUGGGACAGGCUUAAGCUAAGAAGCCUCAACACUCAUUUAUCUUUAUGAUAUCCUUAACUUUGUUUCUAUUCUUGUAUGUCAUGGCAGGCUAAUGGACCAAAAUUCAAAUUGCUCCAUAGGAAAAAAAAAGGCUCACGAGAAGGGUGUACAUUCCGUGCAGUGGAGUUCUAAGGUAAUUUUGUUGAUUAACAAACAAAACAUAUAUUCAACAAAUCUUACUAUUAUGUAUGUAUGUUUGUGGGAACUAGGGAUGAGAGUACAAAUGAGAUAUUUUAUUCAAACAAAGUGAAAUUCAGCAGUCACACUCAAUUAAACAUCACAUUUAUGGUUUCUACAUAUUUGUCAUAAACAACCUCACAUUUCUUUUUCACAUUUCUUUUUCUUGGCUCUAACGGUGCAGGAAAACAGGGUGCUCGCCUCUGCAAGUGAUGAUGGAACAAUCAAGAUAUGGGAGCUUCUUAAUUUCUAGAUGCUUCAUUCUUGAAAUUACUAGAAUUUUAAUUUUCAAAUAUCAUCGAGUUUAUUCAGGUAAAUAGGAUAUUCGGGUACUUGAAUUACCCGAUUUGGCUCAAUAGCACCUUUCAUUCAAAUCCAUGAUGUUAUGAACCAAAUCUGUGAAAUUAGCUUCUAUGUUCUGUAAGGGCAGUUUAGUGGAAAGUAAGGGCAAACUCAAGUGAACUAAACCAUGUACACAUAGGAUUAUUACUUUGCCUCAAUUUUCGACACAAGUUUUGUUUUCUGAUUCUCAAAAAGGAUGCCUCAAACAAAUAGAAGAACAUUAAUUUUGAAAGUAUAAUUGUUCACUAUAAUUCUAUGAACUAAUCCAUGUUAAGGCACGACAUUAAAAGUAUUAAUAAUUAAUUAAUACAUCAUUGCCAUUAAUAGAGUGCAGGUUCGGAUAUACCCGAUUUUCAGCGCACACCCGUAGCACAGAUUUCGACCUGAUACCAUAAUUAUUAUCGGGGGACGGGUAUCCAAUACCCGAUCUGAUUUGGGUUGGUACUAUCCGUCACCCGAUUUUGAUUUUCCCACCCGUAUUGGAGCACAUAAUUAAUUGUACACUUAAGGCCGACAUUAUUAAAACUAAUCCAACAAAAAUCUAUAACAUAAAUAUUUAAUGAAAAAAAAAACAGUAUCCGUUUACCGGCAGGGUUUUGAUGAAGCUUUUGCUGCCAAUUAAAGACCGCCAUGAUUUCGAAACGCACCUCAAUCUCAAGAGUGAUUUCACCGGCAAUCUUGAUUGUCGAAUAUUUUUUGCGAUCUCCAUAGCAAACUAUGUUUGGAGGGUUAUUGGUUUUUGUAUUUGAAGAGGCGAGGGUUUUGGUUUUUGUAUUUACAACAAACGCUUUUAUAGCCUUGGUAUAUGUUUUCAAUCGUG
This 9818-nucleotide long non-coding RNA is filed under the name Salvia miltiorrhiza (redroot sage). RNAcentral describes it as "long non-coding RNA (SMIL_LNC007463)". Lineage: Eukaryota; Viridiplantae; Streptophyta; Magnoliopsida; Lamiales; Lamiaceae. The record is from RNAcentral.